RNAcentral lists this non-coding RNA (177 nucleotides) under Clostridium carboxidivorans. Lineage: Bacteria; Bacillati; Bacillota; Clostridia; Eubacteriales; Clostridiaceae. The record is from RNAcentral. RNAcentral also lists the same sequence under 1 other name.
UUAAAUAAUAAAGUAUUAGGUUUAUUUAUUAAUUAAAAGGGAAAGUGGUGAAAAUCCACUGCAGCCCCCGCUACUGUAUACGGAGACAAGUUCUAUAUCCACUGGAGAGAUAUCUCUGGGAAGGAAGAAUAAGGAAGACCCGUGAGUCAGGAGACCUACCUAUUGCUUUUGUCAUAG